Long non-coding RNA from Gallus gallus (chicken), 3075 nucleotides. Lineage: Eukaryota; Metazoa; Chordata; Aves; Galliformes; Phasianidae. The record is from Ensembl.
UUUCUGCUCUCAAUUAGAGGUUUUAUUCUGAUGGCAAACGAAAAUUUAAGUCCAGUAGAAUUAGGUGUGAAAUCUUACAGAUUCCAAGCCAAGUGUACAUUAUGAUUCCACUUGGCAGCUAAUAGGAAAAGCUGCUCUUAUUGGAACCUACUUUCCAUUUUAGGUAAACUUCUGGAAUUGAGGUUCUGCGUGAAAUGACAGCAAACCGCCAUGAUUAUAUCCUUAAUCUAUUUUUAGUGCUCACUUCCUUCCCGUAAUGAAAAGAAGGGUGACACGCUAACCUUCGUAACUUCUUACUGAAAAAAAAGAGUAGUGCUCUCGAUACUUAUGUACCUAACAGAUGGGACGAAAUGACAAAGAUAUUCCUGAAAGCACAUGCUUGUUUCUUAGUGAAAAAUCCUGUGCCGUUGAAGAAUUAAAACAUUUUUAAUUGUUUGCCCUGAAAUCAGCCUGCUCAUUUUUCUUUGUAACUACAGUAAUGUGGAAUCAUCUUCGAGGCUUCCAACUCUGUUACAUAGACAGAUGUUUGAACGAUCUCCUUCUGCUCAGUAUCAGCUGUUCAGCAGAGCCUGCCUCCAAAAUAAAGGACCAGUUACCUCCUAAUUCUGAUCGCCUUUUCAGAAAUGAUGCAGGGAUUUGUUUCACAACAGCAGUACUUUUUUUUUUCCCUGAGGGCAAGUCAGAAAGCUUCUGCCAAACACAGAUGUAGAUCACCACAGAACUUGCUGUGGUUCUUCAGUCUUGAGCUUUACUCACAAGCCAAUGACACAGCCAGUCUUAUUUCUAUUAAUGUAUGAUGGAGCUCAUCACCCUCGUUUCCUGUGGAUUCUGCAUCUCCCCCUUUCAGAAAGGAGGGAUUUAUAUCUAUUUUGUUGUUGUUGUUGUUUAAGUGCAGUAGAUUUGGACACUGGAGGAAAAAGUGUAGCCUUACAGUCUAUUCCGUUGCGGGCACAGAGUGGGGCAGUGUAUGUGAUUCAGUGUUUGAGGAUAAAUAAUCUUGCAGUCUACACCAUCACGUCUGUUUACUCAGCAGUCGGUGUUCUUGGGUGUGGGUGUGAAGAGGACCUAAAGAACUGAAUUGCAGAACUCCCACAGCAGGCAAGGAUAUGCUGUCAGAAUGCCUCGUGGCAGCGUCGUGCAAUUCUCUCUAAAUUUGCUUCACCUGGAGUUCCCCCGAUUGCUGCUUUCCUUCCCUUUGGUUCCCGUGCUGCCACUGUAGGAGAGGUUCUUUUCCUCCAGAAUCUAAAAGUUCUCUGCGAGGUGAACCGCAAAGCAAGAAAUAAAAAUGAAACUAGACUUCACGUAUUAGGGCCUUGACCGGGGAAGGGAGCAAGAGAAGAACGUUCCCUAUAAAUGAACUCCCAGCUUAACAAAACCGUAAAAACCCCAUAAAAGAUUAAGUAUAGAAAAUAAUAGCAGUCCAAAAAUAUGGUAACAAAACACAGUAAAUCAUGUUUGGAGGGAACCUGUUUCAUUUUCAUGAAUUAGGAUGACCUCUGCAUACUUCACCAAAGUUCUUAUUUUACCACUCUUGAGCUCAUAAAAGAGGGUAUAUUUCAUCCCAGGGGUAAUGUUAAGAUACUGUGAGUUAAGCCCAGAAAUAUGUGCUGAACAUCCCCCAUUACCAGACUGGGUGGAGCCUUGAGCGCGGGACUAAGCCUUGAGUAACCCUUUCAGAACCUCCCUCCUCUCAUGGCCCUCUGUGUUGCUGCAGCUGAUCCAGGAGUUUGUCCUUGUGACGAGGUGACGGCUACUCAGCAGCCAAGCUUGCUGGGCUCUGUGGGAUAGACCUCGAUUCACAGUGGGUAGUGCUUCUUAUUUGUUCGACAGUAAUCAGCACAGGCAUUGUUAUUUACGCGUAGCUCAUGAAGGGAAGGAUAUUAACAGAGACAUUGCAAGGCACACCUUGGCCACAAGCAGCACCGGGAGGGCUACUGUGCUGAGUGGUGGCCUCCAGCUCUGCUAAGUGUCGCUAACAUCUAACAUCACUUUUACAACAGCAGGCAAGCCAAGAGCCACCUUUCCCCCACCUUUCCCCCACCUGUUGCUUUUGAAGGUGCUGUAUGUGCUCCUGAUCCCAGAGGCACAGGGAAAAUUCCCGAUGGCCGGGGAUGUUCAGGAUAGCUUGUCACCAUUGCAGCUAUGCUUGACCCUCAGUCUUCUCUUCAAGACAACAAAUUUAGGUUCUUCAUCCUUCCCUGUUAGGCCUUACGUUUCCUUAUGCCUGAAGAUAUCUGUUUUGUUCACAUACGAGUCAAGCAAAGGACUUGAAAGGAAAGCCUUCCCUCUGAAUUUCUGCUGUUUCGUAGGAACCAGAGAACUGUGUGCCAUUUCCCAACUGCUUGUAGGAGCCAAUGCCUUCCCUUCUGGUAGGCUGCACAGCUCUGCCAACCUCCUCUGCCCAAAGCAAAGUGCAGAUGGGAAACUCCACACUCUGCACCUUGUAGAGGUAAAGGCAUCUGGCGUUAGCUGCUCUGUUUCCUCAAACAGGAAGAUGCUGGAAACCCAGCUGCCAUCUUAAAGACAAGGUUGAACGGCUGAGAUAAACAGGAAUGCGAUGGCUCAUAAACAACUGAUGUUAGAUGGUUACGAAUCUUAGGGGGGGGUGAGGAGGGGGAAUGUAAAGUAUAUAGCAAACAGUAUCUCGCUGUAGCGAUGUGUCUUUUGGGAGGGCAUGGAGCAAAGCUUAGGCAGCGAGACACGGACAGCUCUGCAGAAGGGCUGCACGCUGCAGGAAUCAGGCUUGAUGGUAAAUCUGCCAGGGUGACAGCACAGAGCACAGAGCAUAUUUUUUUUUCCUGCUUUGCUUAAGGAAGAAUAACCACGCAGUGCUCCUGACGAACAGCACUCACCACACCCCGCUAAACUAAGACAGGAGGUGAAUUCUGCAGCCUUAACGCAGAUUCGCGUCCCUAACUGUCACUGCGUAGCGCUUAGGAAGCGCGGGGAACUUGAGCUGCAGUGACACGAGGCUGUCAUUACUGUCGGCACGGCACGUCGUCUCGCUCGGCACGCACCCCGCGGGCGGACUCCCGCAGAGGACAGAGUGGGUGCCGGCCGUCCCGGCUGCGGCCG